CAGGCUUAACACAUGCAAGUCGAGGGGCAGCAUGGUCUUAGCUUGCUAAGGCCGAUGGCGACCGGCGCACGGGUGAGUAACACGUAUCCAACCUGCCGUCUACUCUUGGACAGCCUUCUGAAAGGAAGAUUAAUACAAGAUGGCAUCAUGAGUCCGCAUGUUCACAUGAUUAAAGGUAUUCCGGUAGACGAUGGGGAUGCGUUCCAUUAGAUAGUAGGCGGGGUAACGGCCCACCUAGUCUUCGAUGGAUAGGGGUUCUGAGAGGAAGGUCCCCCACAUUGGAACUGAGACACGGUCCAAACUCCUACGGGAGGCAGCAGUGAGGAAUAUUGGUCAAUGGGCGAGAGCCUGAACCAGCCAAGUAGCGUGAAGGAUGACUGCCCUAUGGGUUGUAAACUUCUUUUAUAAAGGAAUAAAGUCGGGUAUGGAUACCCGUUUGCAUGUACUUUAUGAAUAAGGAUCGGCUAACUCCGUGCCAGCAGCCGCGGUAAUACGGAGGAUCCGAGCGUUAUCCGGAUUUAUUGGGUUUAAAGGGAGCGUAGAUGGAUGUUUAAGUCAGUUGUGAAAGUUUGCGGCUCAACCGUAAAAUUGCAGUUGAUACUGGAUAUCUUGAGUGCAGUUGAGGCAGGCGGAAUUCGUGGUGUAGCGGUGAAAUGCUUAGAUAUCACGAAGAACUCCGAUUGCGAAGGCAGCCUGCUAAGCUGCAACUGACAUUGAGGCUCGAAAGUGUGGGUAUCAAACAGGAUUAGAUACCCUGGUAGUCCACACGGUAAACGAUGAAUACUCGCUGUUUGCGAUAUACAGCAAGCGGCCAAGCGAAAGCGUUAAGUAUUCCACCUGGGGAGUACGCCGGCAACGGUGAAACUCAAAGGAAUUGACGGGGGCCCGCACAAGCGGAGGAACAUGUGGUUUAAUUCGAUGAUACGCGAGGAACCUUACCCGGGCUUAAAUUGCAGAUGAAUUACGGUGAAAGCCGUAAGCCGCAAGGCAUCUGUGAAGGUGCUGCAUGGUUGUCGUCAGCUCGUGCCGUGAGGUGUCGGCUUAAGUGCCAUAACGAGCGCAACCCUUGUUGUCAGUUACUAACAGGUUCCGCUGAGGACUCUGACAAGACUGCCAUCGUAAGAUGUGAGGAAGGUGGGGAUGACGUCAAAUCAGCACGGCCCUUACGUCCGGGGCUACACACGUGUUACAAUGGGGGGCACAGAGGGCCGCUACCACGCGAGUGGAUGCCAAUCCCCAAAACCUCUCUCAGUUCGGACUGGAGUCUGCAACCCGACUCCACGAAGCUGGAUUCGCUAGUAAUCGCGCAUCAGCCACGGCGCGGUGAAUACGUUCCCGGGCCUUGUACACACCGCCCGUCAAGCCAUGGGAGCCGGGGGUACCUGAAGUGCGUAACCGCGAGGAGCGCCCUAGGGUAAAACUGGUGACUGGGGCUAAGUCGUA
This 1443-nucleotide ribosomal RNA is filed under the name uncultured organism. RNAcentral describes it as "SSU rRNA". It matches the Rfam family "Bacterial small subunit ribosomal RNA". The record is from RNAcentral.